GACAGGGGGUGCAAACGUUGCUCGGAAUCACUGGGCGUAAAGCGCACGUAGGCGGUCCCGUAAGUCAGAUGUGAAAGCCCUCGGCUCACCCGAGGAACUGCGUCUGAUACUGCGGGGCUUGAGGACGGGAGGGGAGAGUGGAAUUCCUGGUGGAGCGGUGAAAUGCGUAGAUAUCAGGAGGAACACCGGUGGCGAAAGCGACUCUCUGGUCCGUUCCUGACGCUGAGGUGCGAGAGCUAGGGGAGCAAACGGG
RNAcentral lists this ribosomal RNA (253 nucleotides) under uncultured bacterium. RNAcentral's name for it is "partial 16S ribosomal RNA". It matches the Rfam family "Bacterial small subunit ribosomal RNA", at positions 524 to 776 of the family's 1533-position model. The record is from RNAcentral.